GUGGGGAAUCUUGCGCAAUGGGCGAAAGCCUGACGCAGCCAUGCCGCGUGAAUGAUGAAGGUCUUAGGAUUGUAAAAUUCCUUCACCCGGGACGAUAAUGACGGUACCCGGAGAAGAAGCCCCGGCUAACUUCGUGCCAGCAGCCGCGGUAAUACGAAGGGGGCUAGCGUUGCUCGGAAUUACUGGGCGUAAAGGGCGCGUAGGCGGACAGUUUAGUCAGAGGUGAAAGCCCAGGGCUCAACCUUGGAAUUGCCUUUGAUACUGGCUGUCUUGAGUACGGGAGAGGUGAGUGGAACUCCGAGUGUAGAGGUGAAAUUCGUAGAUAUUCGGAAGAACACCAGUGGCGAAGGCGACUCACUGGCCCGUUACUGACGCUGAGGCGCGAAAGCGUGGGGAGCAAACAGGAUUAGAUACCCGAGUAGUCC
RNAcentral lists this ribosomal RNA (425 nucleotides) under uncultured bacterium. RNAcentral describes it as "partial 16S ribosomal RNA". It matches the Rfam family "Bacterial small subunit ribosomal RNA", at positions 354 to 796 of the family's 1533-position model. The record is from RNAcentral.